AAAAUUGCGUAUUCGCAAAAUUAUAUAAUUAAAUAUGCUACUUUUAUUAAUACUUAAAUUUUUAUUUCAACACAAUAUUUACUUACAUUGCUGUGUCAAUUAUGUUUUUUGAAUUAAUAAAAAGCUUAUUUCCUAUGAAAGAUGUUAAUUUAUACGCAUUUGAGAUGACCAUGACCAUGAUCUUUGUGUGAAUCAUUGCUUUAGAAGGAAAAAGAAAGAAAAAGAGACUAUUAAAUCAAUGUAAGGAGGAUAUGUACAAUGUACAUAUAAGCUUGAUCAAUUGCAUAGGUCUGUCUCGAUAUACGUUCGUCGUGCAUCUGUGUAAUAUUACAAUUCUAGAAAGUAUUACUUCGCAAUAGGAAGCACUUUGAUUUAAAACAUGUUUGCUGCUAUUUUCGCCUUUGCACUUAUAACAACGUAUUCUGCAGCGGAAAUACGUGAGUAAAUGAGAGGUCAGUAUUUAUCUAUAUCAUCGCGCGCAUAUGAUUCAUUUCAUACUAACCGUGCAGAUUGUCGUAAUUCUUAAACCGGAACACUCUUGAUCCGCAACUAGGAAAUUCGAAUAAUUAAUAAAACAUUUGUCAAAUUAGAUAAUUAAUGUAAAAGAUUUAAACAAUUCUAAGUUGUGGUAAACAUUAACAAUAAUUAUAAUGUAUAAUACAUUGGCAAUGCAAACUGCGUACCUAGCAUUAUGGAUGUAGACAGUAAUAAUGUGAAGGACAUAUGCGUGUGAAAACGACGGACGAAAAAAAGCCAUUCCCAUUAUAGUCCUUGUAUUUAAUCAAAGCAACAGUAACGAUGGUAUUGACUUCGACAGGAAUUCCUUGUCGAGCGUUUAUCCACAUAUUUUAUGGAAUGGCAUGUACGAGUACGUGAGAAUGUUUUAUAAUGAAUUUCCGCAAUAUGACAAUUUGUCUUACAGACUUGGCUUGCUGCGAGCGUGUCGCUUAUGACAGCCUCCUACAUUCAUGUGUGCAGCCGCAGAGACCCGAAUCUCGAUCAAUGCAUCAUAAGUAACAUUGAUAAUUUAAAAGGAAACCUUUGCAAAGGAAUUCCAGAAUUGAGCGUUCCGCCAGGCAAUCCAUAUACUUUUGACGACUCGUCUCCGAUGCGCCUAACACCAAGAUGUACAUUAGAGAUGCGAAAAUAAUGGGAAUGUGUGAUUUUGUCGCCCUCCUUCACACGAUCUCACAGACAGAUUCCACUUCGAUAUUGAACUCUUAUUCAAACGGACUCAAGUGAACACCACUUAUGAUUUCAACAUACGUUUUCUAGUGCUCAUCUCUUAUAAAAGAUUGGUUUAUAUUACUAUAGAUAAUAUAGAAGCAAAAAUCGACGUGGACAUGAAACUGGCAGCUAAAGGCAGCAAAACAUAUGCAUACAUAUCGAAGUUGAAGAUUAAUAUCGACCCCAAGAACUAUAAUGUCGAAUUUGAUUUGAACAAAAAGGAAUUAGGAUAAUUUUAUGAAAUUGUUAAGAAUUUUGUAGGCAAUCAGGAAGAGAUUAUUAAAAUUCUUAAAUCGGUUUUAGAAGAAACGAUCUUCAAACGGGUCAUCUUGAUGUGGUUCUAAUGAUGUGGUAAAACACUUUUACUUACGAAGAACUUUUUCCUGAUCGAACAUAAACCGUCCAAAACAUUGUAAUCUAUUGAUCAUUGAUCAUUCCGUUCUUUUGUGAUCUAUUUAAAGAAUAACUGGUUCAAUAUUUGUUAUAUUUUAAAAAACUGACGAGAUUUUAUUUCUGUAAAAAUGAAAACAGACAUACAAUAGAGGAGGAAAUGUUGAAAGGGCUAAAAAUAAAAUAUUGUUUCAUGCGAUAUUAUAUUAUCUUUGAUAAUAGCGAUAAAAGAAGUUUAAAUAUAGAUAUGUUAUAAUAACCGCUCUUGAUUUAGUUUCACUUUAGUCUCGAUAUUCAUAAAUGUUUUACCAACAAUAAAUAGAAUAUAAUACAUGAAAAGUGUUUCUUGUAACAAUAUGGAAUACACAUACGUUGCAUAACCGUUAUGCAAUUCAUCAUCCGCAGUAAAUUGAAAAAAAAGACGAUCUGAUGCAGAUAUGGUAAUGUUUAAUCUCUUAGCUCUACACUUGUGAUUAUUCUUAUAUGAUUCGUUGUUCACGAGUACGCUUAUUUGCCAUUGAAUUUACUCAGCUUUAUUUGAAAGUACAUUGCUGCAGCGUGUUUAAUUAUCAGGUUCCUGUUGCGUUAGAACUGUAAUUUUGAAAUAUAUGUAUAUAAAAAUACAAAAGAAUCUGAUUUAUUUCAAUUGCUAGAUGUAUUGCUAUGCUAUUUGUGAUUACGAAGAAUUUAUUUGUCACAAUUUGUUAUUAUAUUAUUAUUGUUGU
This is a long non-coding RNA of Temnothorax curvispinosus, 2342 nucleotides long. RefSeq lists it as uncharacterized. The transcript has 3 exons. The record is from RefSeq and is a predicted model, not a curated record. Lineage: Eukaryota; Metazoa; Arthropoda; Insecta; Hymenoptera; Formicidae.